This 1270-nucleotide long non-coding RNA is filed under the name Pogona vitticeps (central bearded dragon). RNAcentral's name for it is "lncRNA (ENSPVIG00000020508.1)". Lineage: Eukaryota; Metazoa; Chordata; Lepidosauria; Squamata; Agamidae. The record is from RNAcentral.
GGGGGAAAAGAUGCUGGGCUGAUGAUCCUUUAGCCUGAUCCAUCUUCAGGACCCUUCUCCUGUUCCUCCUUCACCUCCUCUUCAGCCCAGGUGUCCCUGGUCUGGAACUCUGUGGAGCCCUGAAGUUGGCCGUUCGCUGCGAGGGGAACCCACGGCUCCAGCCAGCAUCUGUCGGAAGCCACAUGCUGGAUGAGGUGCAGUUUAGGUCCGAUCCAGUGGAGCGCUGGUGCUUCUCUGUUCCCUCAGCCGGCGGUAUUGCAUCUUUUCCUGCCCUCGUCAAGACGGUCACUCUCGACCGUUCAAGAGCUGCCCUCUGGCACUUUUUAGAUGCCUGCCCUAAGGAUGCCCUCGCUCACCCCUGGCGUGGCCAAGCAGGCCGCCUUCUCUUGCUUAAAGGCGAGGUUCUGAACCGGCCCUUCUCCGUGGGACCCCGGCACGUCGUAAGAGGCCACAGAGGCUUCUGUUUGUGUUGGGUCCUUAUUUUGCACACCACCAAAGGUUUCCCUGAUCAGGCCCGGAAGCCCUGGAACCUCAAAGGGCCAAGGGGGCCAAAACAGUUUGAAAACAGCUGAUCAAAACACAUGGGUUUUGCUUUGAAGGCUGGGAAUGAUCCAGACUUUUGCCGGCCUUGGGCCAUUUAAUUGUCCAUGGGUUGGCCCUUAGCCCCUCCCGAGGCUCUAAAUGGAUUGCCGGUCGGGGUGUGUUUUCCAUUGCAAACUCUACAAUCCUGGACUCAGCCUGUGCCGUUUCCUUUUCUGUGUUUUGCUGGAUUCAGAGCUGACNNNNNNNNNNNNNNNNNNNNNNNNNNUGCUGAGGCCAGCAUCUAUACCAGUGGGCAGAAAAUGCACCCAGCGGUUACCCCCAGGCCCUCCCCCACACCCUCUUCAACUUCAGAGCGGUGGUAUGCCCUAAAAAGUAUUUUGCAGCAAACAGAAGAGAUGGGCCCCAACUAUGUUUCAAGGCCAGGUCAUGCCUCUGAGGACUUUUGCAGGAAGCAUGGUCUGCAGGAUUUUUUUAAGGGGUUGGGGGGGGAUAGCCCUCCAAGCUUUGGGGAAAGAAAAAUGUCCCUCGGGCCCAUGGACUCCCCACCUCGGCCCUACAUAAACCCUGCCUUCCUUCCGUCAGCGAUGGCACCCUUUUCCCGUCCUACCAGACAAGGGCUGUGUUCUCCAUGAUGUGGCAUCACGCCAUUUACAUGGUGAAGAUGCCCACGUGGGUGGAUGUUUCCUUUCCCUUUCCAAGACAUGGGGGAGAGUGUGGAGCCUCCCUC